CAGCAGCAGCCGCGGGAAUACGGAGGGUGCAAGCGUUAAUCGGAAUUACUGGGCGUAAAGCGCACGCAGGCGGUCUGUCAAGUCAGAUGUGAAAUCCCCGGGCUUAACCUGGGAACUGCAUUUGUGACUGGCGAGCUAGAGUAUGGCAGAGGGGGGUAGAAUUCCACGUGUAGCAGUGAAAUGCGUAGAGAUGUGGAGGAAUACCGGUGGCGAAGGCGGCCCCCUGGACAAAGACUGAUGCUCAGGUGUGAAAGCGUGGGGAGCAAACAGGAUUAGAUACCCCUGUAGUCCCUGUCUCUUAUAC
Molecule: ribosomal RNA, 304 nt
Filed under: uncultured bacterium
Lineage: Bacteria
Description: partial 16S ribosomal RNA
Rfam family: Bacterial small subunit ribosomal RNA
Source: RNAcentral